RNAcentral lists this ribosomal RNA (246 nucleotides) under uncultured bacterium. RNAcentral describes it as "partial small subunit ribosomal RNA". It matches the Rfam family "Bacterial small subunit ribosomal RNA", at positions 26 to 285 of the family's 1533-position model. The record is from RNAcentral.
AGAAUCAACGCUGGCGGCGUGCCUAACACAUGCAAGUCGCACCGAGAAAGGGGAGCAAUCCCUGAGUAAAGUGGCGCACGGGUGAGUAACACGUGAAUCAUCUACCUCCGAGUGGGGAAUAACCUAGAGAAAUCUGGGCUAAUACCGCAUAACACUUACGAGUCAAAGCAGCAAUGCGCUUGGAGAGGAGUUCGCGGCCGAUUAGUUAGUUGGCGGGGUAAUGGCCCACCAAGACGAUGAUCGGUA